UGGCACCUUGAUGUCGGCUCAUCACAUCCUGGGGCUGUAGCCGGUCCCAAGGGUUUGGCUGUUCGCCAAUUAAAGUGGUACGUGAGCUGGGUUUAGAACGUCGUGAGACAGUUCGGUCCCUAUCUGCCGUGGGCGUCGGAAGUUUGAGAAGAGCUGCUCCUAGUACGAGAGGACCGGAGUGGACGAACCUCUGGUGUUCGGGUUGUCAUGCCAAUGGCAUUGCCCGGUAGCUACGUUCGGACGGGAUAACCGCUGAAAGCAUCUAAGCGGGAAGCCUCCCUUGAGAUUAGGUAUCUUCGAACCGUCAUAGACCAUGACGUUGAUAGGCUGGGUGUGGAAGCGCAGUAAUGCG
RNAcentral lists this ribosomal RNA (352 nucleotides) under Prymnesium parvum. RNAcentral's name for it is "partial Bacterial large subunit ribosomal RNA". It matches the Rfam family "Bacterial large subunit ribosomal RNA", at positions 2519 to 2885 of the family's 2925-position model. The record is from RNAcentral. Lineage: Eukaryota; Haptophyta; Prymnesiales; Prymnesiaceae.